This 492-nucleotide ribosomal RNA is filed under the name uncultured bacterium. Its description in RNAcentral is "partial 16S ribosomal RNA". It matches the Rfam family "Bacterial small subunit ribosomal RNA", at positions 29 to 507 of the family's 1533-position model. The record is from RNAcentral.
AGUGAACGCUGGCGGUAGGCCUAACACAUGCAAGUCGAACGGCAGCACAGUAAGAGCUUGCUCUUACGGGUGGCGAGUGGCGGACGGGUGAGGAAUACAUCGGAAUCUACUUUUUCGUGGGGGAUAACGUAGGGAAACUUACGCUAAUACCGCAUACGACCUACGGGUGAAAGCAGAGGAUCUUCGGACCUUGCGCGAUUGAAUGAGCCGAUGUCGGAUUAGCUAGUUGGCGGGGUAAAGGCCCACCAAGGCGACGAUCCGUAGCUGGUCUGAGAGGAUGAUCAGCCACACUGGAACUGAGACACGGUCCAGACUCCUACGGGAGGCAGCAGUGGGGAAUAUUGGACAAUGGGCGCAAGCCUGAUCCAGCCAUACCGCGUGGGUGAAGAAGGCCUUCGGGUUGUAAAGCCCUUUUGUUGGGAAAGAAAAGCAGCAGGUUAAUACCCCGCUGUUCUGACGGUACCCAAAGAAUAGGCACCGGCUAACUUCGUG